GUGGGGAAUAUUGCACAAUGGGGGAAACCCUGAUGCAGCAACGCCGCGUGAGUGAUGACGGCCUUCGGGUUGUAAAGCUCUGUCUUCAGGGACGAUAAUGACGGUACCUGAGGAGGAAGCCACGGCUAACUACGUGCCAGCAGCCGCGGUAAUACGUAGGUGGCAAGCGUUGUCCGGAUUUACUGGGCGUAAAGGGAGCGUAGGUGGAUAUUUAAGUGGGAUGUGAAAUCCCCGGGCUUAACCUAGGGGCUGCAUUCCAAACUGGGUGUCUAGAGUGUUGGAGAGGAAAGUGGAAUUCCUAGUGUAGCGGUGAAAUGCGUAGAGAUUAGGAAGAACACCAGUGGCGAAGGCGACUUUCUGGACAAUAACUGACGCUGAGGCUCGAAAGCGUGGGGAGCAAACAGGAUUAGAAACCCUGGUAGUCC
RNAcentral lists this ribosomal RNA (425 nucleotides) under uncultured bacterium. Its description in RNAcentral is "partial 16S ribosomal RNA". It matches the Rfam family "Bacterial small subunit ribosomal RNA", at positions 354 to 796 of the family's 1533-position model. The record is from RNAcentral.